ACGAAGGGGGCUAGCGUUGCUCGGAAUGACUGGGCGUAAAGGGCGCGUAGGCGGCGAUCAAAGUCAGGCGUGAAAUUCCUGGGCUCAACCUGGGGGCUGCGCUUGAUACUUGGUUGCUUGAGUGGGGAAGAGGGUCGUGGAAUUCCCAGUGUAGAGGUGAAAUUCGCAGAUAUUGGGAAGAACACCGGUGGCGAAGGCGGCGACCUGGUCCUUGACUGACGCUGAGGCGCGAAAGCGUGGGGAGCAAACAG
RNAcentral lists this ribosomal RNA (251 nucleotides) under uncultured prokaryote. Its description in RNAcentral is "partial 16S rRNA". It matches the Rfam family "Bacterial small subunit ribosomal RNA", at positions 525 to 775 of the family's 1533-position model. The record is from RNAcentral.